ACACACAGAGGGGACACACAGAGGGGACACAGAAGUGACACAGAGGUGACACACAAAGGGGACACAGAGGGGACACACACAGAGGUGCCACAAGGCGACACAGAGGUGCCACACACAGAGGUGACACAGAGGUGACACAGAGGUGACACAGAGGUGACACAGAGGUGCCACACACAGAGGUGACACAGAGGUGACAUAAGGUGACACAGAGGUGACACAGAGGUGACACAGAGGUGACACAGAGGUGCCACACACAGAGGUGACACAGAGGUGACACAGAGGUGACACAGAGGUG
This is a long non-coding RNA of Tympanuchus pallidicinctus (lesser prairie-chicken), 295 nucleotides long. RefSeq lists it as uncharacterized. Lineage: Eukaryota; Metazoa; Chordata; Aves; Galliformes; Phasianidae. The record is from RefSeq and is a predicted model, not a curated record. The transcript is spliced from 4 exons.